RNAcentral lists this ribosomal RNA (497 nucleotides) under uncultured bacterium. RNAcentral describes it as "partial 16S ribosomal RNA". It matches the Rfam family "Bacterial small subunit ribosomal RNA", at positions 28 to 507 of the family's 1533-position model. The record is from RNAcentral.
GACGAACGCUGGCGGCGUGCCUAAUACAUGCAAGUAGAACGCUGAAACUUGGUGCUUGCACCGAGCGGAUGAGUUGCGAACGGGUGAGUAACGCGUAGGUAACCUGCCUGGUAGCGGGGGAUAACUAUUGGAAACGAUAGCUAAUACCGCAUAAGAGUAGAUAUUGCAUGACAUUUGCUUAAAAGGUGCAAUUGCACCACUACCAGAUGGACCUGCGUUGUAUUAGCUAGUUGGGGGGGUAACGGCUCACCCAGGCGACGAUACAUAGCCGACCUGAGAGGGUGGUCGGCCACACUGGGACUGGGACACCGCCCAGACUCCCACGGGAGGGAGCAGGAGGGGAUUUUCGGCAAUGGACCGAAGGCUGACCGAGCAACGCCGCGGGAGGGAAUAAGGUUCUCGGAUCGUAAAGCUCUGUUGUAAGGGAAGAACGAGUGUGAGAGUGGAAAGUUCACACUGUGACGGUAUCUUACCAGAAAGGGACGGCUAACUACGUG